Mauremys reevesii (Reeves's turtle) is the source of this 249-nucleotide long non-coding RNA. RefSeq lists it as uncharacterized. The record is from RefSeq and is a predicted model, not a curated record. The transcript has 3 exons. NCBI's taxonomy places the organism in Eukaryota, Metazoa, Chordata, Testudines, Geoemydidae.
UGCAGCCUCCAGCCCCGAUGUGCAGCUGGAAAUGGUGGAACAAUGUGAAGCCGGGUGACCCCCGUGGCUGACUCACUCCUGCCGUGAAGCUUGAUGGGGAUUCAGAGUGAAUCCAGAUCCCAGGGGCUGCAGAAUAACAUCCUCGGGUCCCUCCAGAUUCUCCCAGCCUGCCCCGGGAAGGGAAAUGGAUGCAGCAGGCCUGGCUCAGGGGCCGGUGACCUUCGAGGAGGUGGCUGUGUAUUUCACCAG